This 1353-nucleotide ribosomal RNA is filed under the name Microbacterium sp. BPS-5. RNAcentral describes it as "bacterial SSU rRNA". It matches the Rfam family "Bacterial small subunit ribosomal RNA", at positions 75 to 1440 of the family's 1533-position model. Lineage: Bacteria; Bacillati; Actinomycetota; Actinomycetes; Micrococcales; Microbacteriaceae. The record is from RNAcentral.
CAAGCUUGCUUGGUGGAUCAGUGGCGAACGGGUGAGUAACACGUGAGCAACCUGACCUGGACUCUGGGAUAAGCGCUGGAAACGGCGUCUAAUACUGGAUAUGAGCUCUCAUCGCAUGGUGGGGGUUGGAAAGAUUUUUCGGUCUGGGAUGGGCUCGCGGCCUAUCAGCUUGUUGGUGAGGUAAUGGCUCACCAAGGCGUCGACGGGUAGCCGGCCUGAGAGGGUGACCGGCCACACUGGGACUGAGACACGGCCCAGACUCCUACGGGAGGCAGCAGUGGGGAAUAUUGCACAAUGGGCGGAAGCCUGAUGCAGCAACGCCGCGUGAGGGAUGACGGCCUUCGGGUUGUAAACCUCUUUUAGCAGGGAAGAAGCGAGAGUGACGGUACCUGCAGAAAAAGCGCCGGCUAACUACGUGCCAGCAGCCGCGGUAAUACGUAGGGCGCAAGCGUUAUCCGGAAUUAUUGGGCGUAAAGAGCUCGUAGGCGGUUUGUCGCGUCUGCUGUGAAAUCCCGAGGCUCAACCUCGGGCCUGCAGUGGGUACGGGCAGACUAGAGUGCGGUAGGGGAGAUUGGAAUUCCUGGUGUAGCGGUGGAAUGCGCAGAUAUCAGGAGGAACACCGAUGGCGAAGGCAGAUCUCUGGGCCGUAACUGACGCUGAGGAGCGAAAGGGUGGGGAGCAAACAGGCUUAGAUACCCUGGUAGUCCACCCCGUAAACGUUGGGAACUAGUUGUGGGGACCAUUCCACGGUUUCCGUGACGCAGCUAACGCAUUAAGUUCCCCGCCUGGGGAGUACGGCCGCAAGGCUAAAACUCAAAGGAAUUGACGGGGACCCGCACAAGCGGCGGAGCAUGCGGAUUAAUUCGAUGCAACGCGAAGAACCUUACCAAGGCUUGACAUACACCAGAACACCGUAGAAAUACGGGACUCUUUGGACACUGGUGAACAGGUGGUGCAUGGUUGUCGUCAGCUCGUGUCGUGAGAUGUUGGGUUAAGUCCCGCAACGAGCGCAACCCUCGUUCUAUGUUGCCAGCACGUAAUGGUGGGAACUCAUGGGAUACUGCCGGGGUCAACUCGGAGGAAGGUGGGGAUGACGUCAAAUCAUCAUGCCCCUUAUGUCUUGGGCUUCACGCAUGCUACAAUGGCCGGUACAAAGGGCUGCAAUACCGUGAGGUGGAGCGAAUCCCAAAAAGCCGGUCCCAGUUCGGAUUGAGGUCUGCAACUCGACCUCAUGAAGUCGGAGUCGCUAGUAAUCGCAGAUCAGCAACGCUGCGGUGAAUACGUUCCCGGGUCUUGUACACACCGCCCGUCAAGUCAUGAAAGUCGGUAACACCUGAAGCCGGUGGCCCAACC